This 206-nucleotide ribosomal RNA is filed under the name uncultured bacterium. RNAcentral's name for it is "partial 16S ribosomal RNA". It matches the Rfam family "Bacterial small subunit ribosomal RNA", at positions 568 to 774 of the family's 1533-position model. The record is from RNAcentral.
CGUGUAGGCGGCUUUGUGUGUCCCAUGUGAAAGCCCUCGGCUCAACCGGGGAACUGCAUGGGAAACUGCAGAGCUUGAGUCCGGGAGAGGAUAGUGGAAUUCCCAGUGUAGCGGUGAAAUGCGUAGAUAUUGGGAGGAACACCGGUGGCGAAGGCGGCUAUCUGGACCGGUACUGACGCUGAGACGCGAAAGCCAGGGAGCAAACG